RNAcentral lists this small nuclear RNA (105 nucleotides) under Propithecus coquereli (Coquerel's sifaka). The record is from RNAcentral. Lineage: Eukaryota; Metazoa; Chordata; Mammalia; Primates; Indriidae.
GUGCUUGCUUUUGCAGCACAUAUACUAAAAUUAGAAUGAUGGAGAAGAUUAGCAUGGCUUCCAUGCAAGGAUGACAUGGAAAUCCGUGAUGCGUUCCCUAUUUUU